This 465-nucleotide ribosomal RNA is filed under the name Vreelandella stevensii. Its description in RNAcentral is "partial 16S ribosomal RNA". It matches the Rfam family "Bacterial small subunit ribosomal RNA", at positions 338 to 795 of the family's 1533-position model. Lineage: Bacteria; Pseudomonadati; Pseudomonadota; Gammaproteobacteria; Oceanospirillales; Halomonadaceae. The record is from RNAcentral.
CCUACGGGGAGCAGCAGUGGGGAAUAUUGGACAAUGGGCGAAAGCCUGAUCCAGCCAUGCCGCGUGUGUGAAGAAGGCCUUCGGGUUGUAAAGCACUUUCAGUGGGGAAGAAAGCCUAGGGGCUAAUACCCUCGAGGAAGGACAUCACCCACAGAAGAAGCACCGGCUAACUCCGUGCCAGCAGCCGCGGUAAUACGGAGGGUGCGAGCGUUAAUCGGAAUUACUGGGCGUAAAGCGCGCGUAGGCGGUCUGAUAAGCCGGUUGUGAAAGCCCCGGGCUCAACCUGGGAACGGCAUCCGGAACUGUCAGGCUAGAGUGCAGGAGAGGAAGGUAGAAUUCCCGGUGUAGCGGUGAAAUGCGUAGAGAUCGGGAGGAAUACCAGUGGCGAAGGCGGCCUUCUGGACUGACACUGACGCUGAGGUGCGAAAGCGUGGGUAGCAAACAGGAUUAGAUACCCCGGUAGUC